AAUAGAUACCCCGGUAGUCCACGCCCUAAACGAUGUCUACUAGUUGUCGGGUCUUAAUUGACUUGGUAACGCAGCUAACGCGUGAAGUAGACCGCCUGGGGAGUACGGUCGCAAGAUUAAAACUCAAAGGAAUUGACGGGGACCCGCACAAGCGGUGGAUGAUGUGGAUUAAUUCGAUGCAACGCGAAAAACCUUACCUACCCUUGACAUGGUCGGAAUCCUGGAGAGAUCCGGGAGUGCUCGAAAGAGAACCGAUACACAGGUGCUGCAUGGCUGUCGUCAGCUCGUGUCGUGAGAUGUUGGGUUAAGUCCCGCAACGAGCGCAACCCUUGUCAUUAGUUGCUACGAAAGGGCACUCUAAUGAGACUGCCGGUGACAAACCGGAGGAAGUGGGGAUGACGUCAAGGUCCUCACGGCCCUUAUGGGUAGGGCUUCACACGUCAUACAAUGGUGCAUACAGAGGGCUGCCAACCCGGCGAGGGGGAGCUAAUCCCAGAAAGUGCAUCGUAGUCCGGAUUGUAGUCUGCAACUCGACUA
Molecule: ribosomal RNA, 537 nt
Filed under: uncultured bacterium
Lineage: Bacteria
Description: bacterial SSU rRNA
Rfam family: Bacterial small subunit ribosomal RNA
Source: RNAcentral